RNAcentral lists this long non-coding RNA (698 nucleotides) under Callithrix jacchus (white-tufted-ear marmoset). Its description in RNAcentral is "lncRNA (ENSCJAG00000076731.1)". Lineage: Eukaryota; Metazoa; Chordata; Mammalia; Primates; Cebidae. The record is from RNAcentral.
UUCCUCAUGUCCUUCUGCAUGUCACAUGCAGGAUACAGGAACUGGGAGAGAGCUGAGUAAGCAUGAAAAGAUCACUUUUAGAGUCUCCAUUACUGCCUCUGCCUCCAGUCCCAGCACUGCAGAAACACAGACGAGAGAGGAGAGUUAUGGAUUGAGCUGACUCAUUCACUGGGACUCCCACCUUCCUGUCAAAUUGGGCCAUGGUGAAGUCAGUGAAGAAUCAUUAGCAUUUCAGAUGACACCAUUACUUCAUGCAGCAUUCUAGAGCAAAUUUGCUUUUGUCAUUACUGGCAUGCACUUUGAUAUGGAUCAUUAAAAAAAUCAUUAAUAAAAAAGUUUCUCUCUUAGGAGCUUAUAGUUGAGAUUCUUGGGUAAAAUCCAACUCCUGUGUCAAAAACUGAUGUUACUCGCUAAUCUGAGUUUGUCACCUCUGAGUCUAAUUAGAGAAGUCGAAAUGGAUUUUCCUUAGCAUUCCCUAGAGGAUUAACAUGUGUGAUCCCUUAGAGAUUUUGGAGAAGUACAAGGGAAAAUGUAGAUUUAAACAAAGAAAAUGCAUUGCAAAAAUAACCGCAUUAUUACACACUUUCUUCAGGGAUUAGCAAUACCCCACUACAGACAAAUUGGAUGCCUGGAUCUAUAGCACAUGCUCUGUGAAGCCAAGUGCUUGUGAGGGCUGCUCUCUGAGUCCUUCUGUUCUG